RNAcentral lists this unclassified non-coding RNA (303 nucleotides) under plant metagenome. RNAcentral's name for it is "partial contains 5.8S ribosomal RNA, internal transcribed spacer 2, and large subunit ribosomal RNA". The stretch from base 1 to 105 matches the Rfam family "5.8S ribosomal RNA", at positions 50 to 154 of the family's 154-position model. The record is from RNAcentral.
GAAAUGCGAUAAGUAAUGUGAAUUGCAGAAUUCAGUGAAUCAUCGAAUCUUUGAACGCACAUUGCGCCCGCCAGUAUUCUGGCGGGCAUGCCUGUUCGAGCGUCAUUUCAACCAUCAAGCCCCGCGCUUGUGUUGGGGACCUGCGGCUGCCGCAGGUCCUGAAAACCAGUGGCGGGCUCGCUGUCACACCGGGCGUAGUAGAUUUUAUCUCGCUCAGGGCGUGCUGCGGGUUCCGGCCGUUAAAAAGCCUUUUUUACCCAAGGUUGACCUCGGAUCAGGUAGGAAGACCCGCUGAACUUAAGC